This 322-nucleotide ribosomal RNA is filed under the name uncultured eukaryote. RNAcentral's name for it is "partial 18S ribosomal RNA". It matches the Rfam family "Eukaryotic small subunit ribosomal RNA", at positions 1470 to 1796 of the family's 1831-position model. The record is from RNAcentral.
CCCUUAGAUGUCCUGGGCCGCACGCGCGCUACACUGACUGGUGCAACAAGUGUCUGACCUUGGCUCGAGAGGCCUGGGCAACCUUUGAACGCCAGUCGUGCUGGGGAUAGAUUCUUGCAAUUAUUAAUCUUCAACGAGGAAUUCCUAGUAAACGCAAGUCAUCAGCUUGCAUUGAUUACGUCCCUGCCCUUUGUACACACCGCCCGUCGCACCUACCGAUUGAAUGGUCCGGUGAAAUCUCGGGACGGCGGCUUGGUCGCUUGCGUCCGACUGCUGAAACUUGAUUAAACCAUAUCAUUUAGAGGAAGGUGAAGUCGUAACA